GACGAACGCUGGCGGCGUGCUUAACACAUGCAAGUCGAACGGAGAGGCCCUGCUUUUGUGGGGUGCUCGAGUGGCGAACGGGUGAGUAACACGUGAGUAACCUGCCCUUGACUUUGGGAUAACUUCAGGAAACUGGGGCUAAUACCGGAUAGGAGCUCCUGCUGCAUGGUGGGGGUUGGAAAGUUUCGGCGGUUGGGGAUGGACUCGCGGCUUAUCAGCUUGUUGGUGGGGUAGUGGCUUACCAAGGCUUUGACGGGUAGCCGGCCUGAGAGGGUGACCGGCCACAUUGGGACUGAGAUACGGCCCAGACUCCUACGGGAGGCAGCAGUGGGGAAUAUUGCACAAUGGGCGGAAGCCUGAUGCAGCAACGCCGCGUGCGGGAUGACAGCCUUCGGGUUGUAAACCGCUUUCGCCUGUGACGAAGCGUGAGUGACGGUAAUGGGUAAAGAAGCACCGGCUAACUACGU
This 467-nucleotide ribosomal RNA is filed under the name uncultured bacterium. RNAcentral's name for it is "partial 16S ribosomal RNA". It matches the Rfam family "Bacterial small subunit ribosomal RNA", at positions 28 to 506 of the family's 1533-position model. The record is from RNAcentral.